GGCAGAGUACGACCGCUCACAUUUCUGCGAGGGGCUGCUUAAAAAUAGGGGGGUCCUUGUGAAGCAGCUGCCCGCGUUUCCAAAGCACGUAUGGUGUUGGAUUGUAAGGUGCCCAAGUACGUUUGCGAGGAAGAGAAUGUGGCCAGGCUGGAGAGGAAAGUGCAGUGGCAUAUUGGAAUGUGAGAUUAGCGUAAGCGAGUUACAGGGUGUUUGGUGCACGGGCGAAUUUACGUGCAUAUCUUUCACCGUAGCAUCAGUCCUCAGUUCACUUCUUGGAACGAACAUCAUCAUAGGUCCAAGCCCUCUCGCUUGGAGGGAUAUGCAAACAAACAUCCUGAUAAGGGUAAACUCGCACGCUAGCGAGCAUUCAACCGAGCACAUGCAUGCUUAGUUGAAUGGUGAGAUGCGACCCCCCCUUCAUUUCGUGCUCGGCAAGCCUGCCACCGCGUACCGAAUAUGUUGGCGAUGUUACAGAGACGCUGCACCUUGGUUUCUGUGCGCAAUGCGUACGAUGCUCGACCCCGCCGACCAAAACUACACGUGCCCAACUGAAGACAUUACCGGUGGUUGUGCAGCAGCUCUUGAGGCUGUUGCUGGCUGAAAUCCAUCCUGAGCUGUUGCAACACGGCUAACGCGGGCACGUCCCUAUGCAGAGCAAAUAGCUGUUCCAAGCCAACAGCGGCGUCCAUGUCACCGACAAGGCUCUAAACGUCUCAUCUGUUCUUAUGUUUAAUUAAGUUUAUGUAUGUUAUGCUUUGCGCAACUUUGUAAUUUGACUUUACUCUGAACAAGGUGCUGUAUACGUUGCACUACCAAAAACGCGACCGUUUGCUUGCACACAACUGCCUCUUCGCCAGACGCUUCCUCUUCCCGCGGCAGUUUCACGAGCCCAGUGUUGCAAGCUACGACGUAUGCUUUCAUAUCUUUUCAUAUCUUAUUCGGCUCAGGCUAAGCAGCCAGCCAAAAGUCCGAGAUGCAUGCCGCUUGUGACUGCGGCCAACAUGCCCUGAUGAGCGGCCUUUCGCCGAAAAAAUUACAUACACUUUUACAGGCGCAUUUUGAGAAUUGAACGCGCGCAUCCGCACGAUAAAUUUCGCGCCUGGCUCUUGGGGCGUCAUGUACGGACCUUUUAUUCGCGAAGUACGACCGGACACAUUUGUGCGAGAGGCUGCUUAAAUAGACGACUAGAAAUAGGGGGUUCCUUGUGAAGCAGCUGCCCGCGUUUCCUAAGCACGUAUGGUGUUGGAUUGUAAGGUGCCCAAGUACGUUUGCGAGGAAGAGAAUGUGGCCAGGCUGGAGAGGAAAGUGCAGUGGCAUAUUGGAAUGUGAGAUUAGCGUAAGCGAGUUACAGGGCGUUUGGCGCACGUUUGGCGCACCGUAGCAUCAGUCCUCAGUUCACUUCUUGGAACGAACAUCAGCAUAGGUCCAAGCCCUCUCGCUUGGAGGGAUAUGCAAACAAACAUCCUGAUAAGGGUAAACUCGCACGCUAGCGAGCAUUCAACCGAGCACAUGCAUGCUUAGUUGAAUGGUGAGAUGCGACCCCCCCUUCAUUUCGUGCUCGGCAAGCCUGCCACCGCGUACCGGAUAUGUUGGCGAUGUUACAGAGACGCUGCACCUUUGUUUCUGUGCGCAAUGCGUACGAUGCUCGACCCCGCCGACCAAAACUACACGUGCCCAACUGAAGACAUUCCCGGUGGUUGUGCAGCAGCUCUUGAGGCUGUUGCUGGCUGAAAUCCAUCCUGAGCUGUUGCAACACGGCUAACGCGGGCACAUCCCUAUGCACAGCAAAUAGCUGUUCCAAGCCAACAGCGGCGUCCAUGUCACCGACAAGGCUCUAAACGUC
This 1843-nucleotide long non-coding RNA is filed under the name Volvox carteri. RNAcentral's name for it is "long non-coding RNA (VCAR_LNC001330)". Lineage: Eukaryota; Viridiplantae; Chlorophyta; Chlorophyceae; Chlamydomonadales; Volvocaceae. The record is from RNAcentral.